GCGAGCCAGCAAGGACCCCUCGCAUGAAAAAAACCUGACGCCCUCGAUCUAUCCGCUACCACGACCGGAACCAUCCCAGGCGCCACCGAUCCUUUCGCUGGCGCCGAGAUCCUAGAGGAUGCGCCGCCGCCUUCGUUGCGGACCUCCAGGUCGCCGUCGGGACACCACUGCCGAGGAUGGAAUUGGAUCCAGACUUGGUGGUUUGAAAUUAUUCUCUGUCGUAAGUUGCAUAUCCUAAGCAAUAAUUUAUGACAUUUUGUUUUUGUUCUUAUGAUAUAAAGUUCAGUGUUACUUUCACUCUAUUUCAUGGUAAUGAUGUGUUGUAUUUGUUUUAGUGAAUGGAGGAAUCUGAGAACACACAGUGAUUUAACCUUACCAUGUUAAAUGCUUAUAUGCAUGUUCGUUCUGUUCAAUUAAAGAUAGCCAUGAUUAUAGGAAUAUUAUCUUUCUACACGCAUGCUUGCGUGUUCAUAUAAACAUGAUACUCACCACCCUUCAUCCUAAUUUGUAAUGCAAAUACUUGACUAAUGCUAGAUCUUGUAUAGCCCGACUUUCCACUUUUAUCACAAAGGUGAGAAGGCUAGCGAACUGGUCGGUGUCGAUGUGAAGAAACUUGAAGCUACCAUGCAAGGUCCAGAAGAGCCGUGGCAGCGAUAGGGCGGUGCAGCUGGACCUAUCGGUUGCCCCAUGGGCCAGUCGCCAUCGGUUGAGGUGAAGCAGGUGAAUAAGAAUGGGGUGGCAAUGAAGGUGGUGGAGGUGGAGGAGAUCAGCAAUUAAUUCAAGAGGGAGGUGAUUCUCGUCUACGGUUUAGAGGUGGAGCAGGUGGACAAGGCCUCUUUAUUGCUCAACAAGAUUGAUGAGAUAUGUUAAGUUUAAUUUUUGGAAUGGUGAGAUCUGUUCAGAUGCUUUGUUUACUAGCUAAAAAAUUACAGCAGAUAGGGACUGAAGAUUGUUGAUUUUGCUCAACUUGAUGCGGCUUGAUUAGUACUCAAUCAAGAUGAACUGACCAUCAUAGCUGGUGUUGAUUACAGGGGAUGUGCUGGUGCCAGUGACCAUUGCUAUUCGAACAAAGGAGUGGAUCUAGCAAUAUUACAAUCAAUAAAGGAAUAUUAUCUUUCUACAAGCAUGCUGGUCGGUGUCGAUGUGAAGAAACUUGAAGCUGCCAUGCAAGGUGAGAAGGCUAGCGAACUGGUCGGUGUCGAUGUGAAGAAACUUGAAGCUGCCAUGCAAGGUCCAGAAGUAAGAACUUAUUUUCAUCUAUUUCCUACAGGCCUUCAAAAAUAAAUAUGAGCUCCCAACUAUUCUGCCCAAUCAUAUAUCUCAUCAACUCCAUUGAACAAAUUUUGUUUCUCCUAAGUGAGUCUAUUAUUAUUCCCCUUGUACCUCAUGGAAAAACUAUGAGUUCUUAAUUAUUCUUCCACUCCAUCAUAUUCACCUUCAUCUAUUCAGUUGAAUGAAAUCAUGUUUUCUUCUCAGUGACUCCCUUGCUUUGUGUGCAAGUGCUACACUGGAUUACCCAGGAUUAUUCUUAAUAUUAAUGGCUUCGGGCUAGGUUUUGUUUAGAACAUAAAUUUUGAAUAUAUGAGUCUACAUAUUGCAUGCUU
Long non-coding RNA from Triticum aestivum (bread wheat), 1604 nucleotides. RefSeq lists it as uncharacterized. The record is from RefSeq and is a predicted model, not a curated record. The transcript is spliced from 5 exons. NCBI's taxonomy places the organism in Eukaryota, Viridiplantae, Streptophyta, Magnoliopsida, Poales, Poaceae.